Homo sapiens (human) is the source of this 148-nucleotide non-coding RNA. It matches the Rfam family "Metazoan signal recognition particle RNA". Rfam says of the family: The signal recognition particle (SRP) is a universally conserved ribonucleoprotein. Lineage: Eukaryota; Metazoa; Chordata; Mammalia; Primates; Hominidae. The record is from Rfam.
GCUGGGCGCGGUGGCGGGUGCCUGUAGUCCCAGCUACUCGGGAGGCUGAGGCAGGAGAAUGGCAUGAACCCAGGAGGCGGAGCCUGCAGUGAGCCGAGAUAGGGCCACUGCAGUCCCGCCUGGGUGAAAAAGCGAGACUCUGUCUCAA